UUUUCGGCACAGGUUUGAUCACGGUGGAGAACCCACGUGACUUAUUUGGUAAAGUGCACGGCAACAAAUGUCAACUAGUCUCGAUUCAGAAUAUGAAGACUCCGACUUAAUGCAAAGAAUGCGGAAUGGCAUUUCAAAAUAAAAAAAAACAUCUAGUAGACCACGAUAGAAGGCAUUCUGGUCAAUUGCCAUCGUUUGCGGGAGUGUUUACACAGACACAGGUGCAGCAAUCACGGCGAGACAAAGUUGCACGUUUGCAAAUAUUGUGGCAAAACUGCUCUUGCAAGACUUGAAGAUACACGAAAGACACGAAAGCGGCCAAUUGAAGCUAACCUGUGAUGUGUGUGGGUUCAAA
Long non-coding RNA from Mya arenaria, 355 nucleotides. RefSeq lists it as uncharacterized. The record is from RefSeq and is a predicted model, not a curated record. The transcript is spliced from 3 exons. Lineage: Eukaryota; Metazoa; Mollusca; Bivalvia; Myida; Myidae.